UCCUUUAUAUGGAAUUUUACCGGAGGAAAUAAUAACAUUCAUACAACAACUUUAUUGCUUUUUCACCACCUCAAUGUUUCAUUUUUAGGUAUAAUCUUCUGUCUCAUAGUCUUCUUUCUGUAUUUCUGUACAAUAUUUUUGCAGCGAUCCUGCACAGUAUUUCAGCAUACUGUUUCUGCAGAAUAAUUAUGAACAAACUAAAGUAUUCUUGUCCAAACUUUUAGAAGAAAAAGGUUGUUGGUUCUGCAUCCACAUGAAGAAGAGACGCACAUGGACAAAAGUAAUUUGAGAGGUGCUGAGAAGAGAAAUAUACUCUACAAGGAAAUUUUGGUGAUGCAAUUGAAAUGGUGCUCCAAAGUAAACUUGAUUUAUUGGAAUUUAGUGAUGGAGAUUUUUGGACAAUUAUGAUGUUUAUGAUACUAUUUAAAUACAUAUAAUUUUGUAAAAGGUCACUGCUAGUUGCACCU
Long non-coding RNA from Nicotiana attenuata, 467 nucleotides. RefSeq lists it as uncharacterized. Lineage: Eukaryota; Viridiplantae; Streptophyta; Magnoliopsida; Solanales; Solanaceae. The record is from RefSeq and is a predicted model, not a curated record. The transcript has 3 exons.